Molecule: unclassified non-coding RNA, 189 nt
Filed under: uncultured fungus
Lineage: Eukaryota; Fungi
Description: sequence contains ITS1, 5.8S rRNA gene
Source: RNAcentral
ACCAGUAACGGGGGCGGACCUUGAACAGAGACCAAUGCGAUUCCCCUGUGUUUCGCGGACUCGUUCUCUCCGCCCUGUCUGAUAUACCCCUGCUUUUUGCGUACCACUGUUUCCUCGGCGGGCUCGCCCGCCAGUAGGACCUUUUUAAACCUUUGCAGUGCAGUCAGCGUCAGAAAAAUAUAAUCGUUA